RNAcentral lists this transfer RNA (72 nucleotides) under Marmota monax (woodchuck). RNAcentral describes it as "tRNA.Ala". Lineage: Eukaryota; Metazoa; Chordata; Mammalia; Rodentia; Sciuridae. The record is from RNAcentral.
GGGGAUGUGGCUCAAGUGGUAGCGCGCUCACCUGGCAAGUGUGAGGCACUGGGUUCAAUUCUCAGCACUACA